This 277-nucleotide unclassified non-coding RNA is filed under the name uncultured fungus. RNAcentral describes it as "sequence contains ITS2". Lineage: Eukaryota; Fungi. The record is from RNAcentral.
AACGCACCUUGCGCCACGUGGUAUUCCACGGGGCACGCCUGUUUGAGUGUCACGUAAACCAUCGCGUCGUGAAUUGUAAUGAUUCGCGGGGCGGAUUUGGACGCUGCCGUCGUUGGCUCGUCUCGAAAUGCAUUAGCUGUCUUAUGACGCGCGCCGUUGGUGUGAUAAUUUACUUUGCGCCGCUGGUGAGCGACUUUGGAUGGCUUAUAACCGCCCGCAAGGGCAACAAACUUAACGUUUUGGCCUCAAAUCAGGUGGGACUACCCGCUGAACUUAA